This is a long non-coding RNA of Xenopus laevis (African clawed frog), 1148 nucleotides long. RefSeq lists it as uncharacterized. The transcript is spliced from 3 exons. The record is from RefSeq and is a predicted model, not a curated record. Lineage: Eukaryota; Metazoa; Chordata; Amphibia; Anura; Pipidae.
GGGUUCUAAUUCAGGCCUUCUAGGGAGGGGGGUAGGAUUAAAAGAAAUGGUCAAGUUGAAUACCUUCCUCUUCUUCUUCUGGCAACAAAGAAAAUGCUUUUGUUGAGGCAGGGCUAUUUGUUCUCAGCCACAUAAUCCAAAGGGAUCUUGAUAAUGGGUCACAGAUCAGUACAGUUGCUGUGCAUGGCCAAACAAAUGUGGAGCUUCUCAGGGCAGAGGCGCAGGAUUAAAAAUACUUAUGCAAUAGGCCCAUUUCAUUUCUAAAUGUUCAGUACUAUUCAUAAGACUAAAUUGUAAUGAAUGCAAAAGAAAAAAGAAGUCUCAAUUGAUGAGUGUGCAAGUAAUAUGCUUAUGACAGAGCUUUGUGGAGGAACACAGCCAAGGUUAGUAUUUUGCUUGAAGGAACAAUAGCGUCAUGUGUUGCUUUUCAUAGGACCGAUGCCAGUUUGUUGCUGCAGGUGCACUUGUGGUGUGGCCACAGGAGGGAAGCAAUAACCGACGUGCUUUCCUAUUCAAGUCACAAUCAAAAGAGUGCUUGUAAUUUAGUGGCUUGCUGGCGGAGCCCGGCCCAUAUGGUAGCUGCUGGGCACGGAGCAGAAAGCAGUACGGUGGGAGGACCAGUAUGCAUUUUGUCUAUUCAUCAGUACACCUGCACUGGUGUUGACUUUGUCGCUUAAUGUGUGUUUUUUUUAUUUCAUGUGAACAACAACGGAUUGCGCCCAGAGGACACCCAUUUGGUCUAACUGCCAGACAACAAUGACAAGGCGCCUCCCAGGGAGAUUUUGCACAUGUAUAAAAUCCUAAUGGGACAUAAAUGCAGAGGAUGCAACAUUCACAACCUGAUCUCCCCGGAUUGUGCUGCAUGGUGGAGCUCAGGCUUUAUGGAAGAAUCUGAAGUGGAAGAACAGAAUAUCCUCUUUAUUACUGCACGAAACAGAACACAUCAGCACUGAGCCACCCAGAACAAAGGGACACAAUAAGGAUAUGAGUCACCUCCGUGCAACAGAACCCAAUUCAAGAGAAUAGACGAUGAAAACUUCCCAUUCCCUGUCCCUCCAUUAAUGUAUACUAUGCAAUGUUCCUGUGCCCUGUAACUCAAUACUGACAGUCUCUGUUCACAGGCAGAGAACUCACCUGACUCCAUUGGC